RNAcentral lists this ribosomal RNA (445 nucleotides) under uncultured bacterium. RNAcentral describes it as "partial 16S ribosomal RNA". It matches the Rfam family "Bacterial small subunit ribosomal RNA", at positions 354 to 796 of the family's 1533-position model. The record is from RNAcentral.
GUGGGGAAUAUUGGACAAUGGGCGCAAGCCUGAUCCAGCCAUGCCGCGUGCAGGAAGACGCAUCUAUGGUGUGUAAACUGCUUUUGUACGGGAAGAAACACUCCCUCGUGAGGGAGCUUGACGGUACCGUAAGAAUAAGGAUCGGCUAACUCCGUGCCAGCAGCCGCGGUAAUACGGAGGAUCCAAGCGUUAUCCGGAAUCAUUGGGUUUAAAGGGUCCGUAGGCGGUUUAAUAAGUCAGUGGUGAAAGCCCAUCGCUCAACGAUGGAACGGCCAUUGAUACUGUUAGACUUAAAUUACAAGGAAGUAACUAGAAUAUGUAGUGUAGCGGUGAAAUGCUUAGAUAUUACAUGGAAUACCAAUUGCGAAGGCAGGUUACUACUUGUGGAUUGACGCUGAUGGACGAAAGCGUGGGGAGCGAACAGGAUUAGAAACCCUUGUAGUCC